RNAcentral lists this ribosomal RNA (253 nucleotides) under uncultured bacterium. RNAcentral's name for it is "partial 16S ribosomal RNA". It matches the Rfam family "Bacterial small subunit ribosomal RNA", at positions 524 to 776 of the family's 1533-position model. The record is from RNAcentral.
UACGUAGGGGCCGAGCGUUGUCCGGAUUUAUUGGGCGUAAAGCGCGCGCAGGCGGCUUGACGCGCCCGACGUGAAAGCCCCCGGCUUAACCGGGGAGGGUCGUCGGGUACGGUCAGGCUUGAGGGCGGGAGAGGGUGGUGGAAUUCCCGGUGUAGUGGUGAAAUGCGUAGAGAUCGGGAGGAACACCUGUGGCGAAGGCGGCGACCUGGGCCGACCCUGACGCUGAGGCGCGAAGGCGUGGGGAGCGAACGGG